UGCAGUCGAGCGGGGGAGAUUGCUUCGGUAAUUGACCUAGCGGCGGACGGGUGAGUAAUACUUAGGAAUCUGCCUAUUAAUGGGGGACAACAUCUCGAAAGGGAUGCUAAUACCGCAUACGCCCUACGGGGGAAAGCAGGGGAUCACUUGUGACCUUGCGUUAAUAGAUGAGCCUAAGUCGGAUUAGCUAGUUGGUGGGGUAAAGGCCUACCAAGGCGACGAUCUGUAGCGGGUCUGAGAGGAUGAUCCGCCACACUGGGACUGAGACACGGCCCAGACUCCUACGGGAGGCAGCAGUGGGGAAUAUUGGACAAUGGGGGGAACCCUGAUCCAGCCAUGCCGCGUGUGUGAAGAAGGCCUUAUGGUUGUAAAGCACUUUAAGCGAGGAGGAGGCUCUCUUGGUUAAUACCCAAGAUGAGUGGACGUUACUCGCAGAAUAAGCACCGGCUAACUCUGUGCCAGCAGCCGCGGUAAUACAGAGGGUGCGAGCGUUAAUCGGAUUUACUGGGCGUAAAGCGUGCGUAGGCGGCUUUUUAAGUCGGAUGUGAAAUCCCCGAGCUUAACUUGGGAAUUGCAUUCGAUACUGGGAAGCUAGAGUAUGGGAGAGGAUGGUAGAAUUCCAGGUGUAGCGGUGAAAUGCGUAGAGAUCUGGAGGAAUACCGAUGGCGAAGGCAGCCAUCUGGCCUAAUACUGACGCUGAGGUACGAAAGCAUGGGGAGCAAACAGGAUUAGAUACCCUGGUAGUCCAUGCCGUAAACGAUGUCUACUAGCCGUUGGGGCCUUUGAGGCUUUAGUGGCGCAGCUAACGCGAUAAGUAGACCGCCUGGGGAGUACGGUCGCAAGACUAAAACUCAGAUGAAUUGACGGGGGCCCGCACAAGCGGUGGAGCAUGUGGUUUAAUUCGAUGCAACGCGAAGAACCUUACCUGGUCUUGACAUAGUAAGAACUUUCCAGAGAUGGAUUGGUGCCUUCGGGAACUUACAUACAGGUGCUGCAUGGCUGUCGUCAGCUCGUGUCGUGAGAUGUUGGGUUAAGUCCCGCAACGAGCGCAACCCUUUUCCUUAUUUGCCAGCACUUCGGGUGGGAACUUUAAGGAUACUGCCAGUGACA
Molecule: ribosomal RNA, 1110 nt
Filed under: Acinetobacter guillouiae
Lineage: Bacteria; Pseudomonadati; Pseudomonadota; Gammaproteobacteria; Moraxellales; Moraxellaceae
Description: bacterial SSU rRNA
Rfam family: Bacterial small subunit ribosomal RNA
Source: RNAcentral